AAAUGGUGGCACGGUUCACUUCAUGGUAUAUGUUAUCUAAUUGUUUCUUUGGUCAACAGGAUAAUAUCGUCGGUUAGUAAUAACAAUUAUACAUCAUUUAUAGACGUAGCUUUUUUUAUGAUUGAACUUAUUUCUACGUUGUUUGAUUAUAUCACAUUUUCGUUGAAAUAUGCUAAAUUUAAGUCAUAUAUUUAUAGUUCUACUUCUUAAUUUACAUUUAUGCAACCAAAUAUAAACAAUUGGCCAAAUUAAUAUGAUGACAACAUCAGGCAAUGUUCUCAAGACCAAAACUUAAAAGCAACAAUACUUAAAUUCUGUUGCUUGUCAGAUAUUUAGUUUUAAGCCUCGACCUCAACUGUUACUGUUACUGUUACUGGUAUGGUCCUCCUAUCUAAGGAGCACUCCUGAAGGAUAAGAAUAUGAAUAUUUACAUGUAUAUGAAUAUUUACAGGGACCUGUUAGUAGCACCAUUACCCAAAUUACUGUACAGUAUUUUCCUUAAAUUCUGAUGUCCUGAUUACCAUAUUACGACACAUUCUCAAUAAAUACAAUGUCUUUUGAUACUUGUUGCUCUUUCCAAAUACCCUUCACUUUGGAUUGUCAUUUGAUAUUAAACAUACUGCUCUUAUGUGACAAAUUUAUAAUCCAAUCAAGCUUUGGUCUGAUUAAAUAAAGUACGUUUUAUAUGAAGGCUGUCACAUAAUGUUCUUGUUGUUGCUUCGAUAUCAUUACAAUUUAAUUUACAGUUUGAAUUGCUUUUUAAACUUUGUUGCUGAUGGAUUAAGAAUGAAUAAUACAAGCAAUCCCUGUUCCUCUACUCUGUCAAAUGUUCCAACUGGUGUGUUGUUCUUCAAGUAAGAUUUAAGAACUGACAAAUACCUAUCUCGCUCAGUCUUUAAGGCAGUACACGUGAUCAGAAAGUAAUGUGUAUCUUCACGACUUGUUUCACAUAUCAGGCACUUGUCACUCUCUCGAGCUCUUGUGGUUUUUUUUCUCUGUCUGAUUGUAAUGUGUAGGUUCUUGUAAUUAUUAAACACAGGUGUGAUUGUCUGAUAGGUUGUUAUUGGAGCUGGUGGUCUGAUGAAUCCAGGCUUUACGUAUGGUGGAGGCCUUAUAAUUUGGUUAUACAAUGCUGAGGUAGUAUGUUAGUGUAUCCUGGUGUCCUCCGAUUUUGAUAAUAGCUGUGCACAUUUUGCAUAGUAGGUGGUGCAGAGUUCAGUGUUUGUUGUACCGGAUGUGCCCAAGGGGUAUUUGUAUAGUUCGGUGUCUGUUGAACUGGAGGAUGUUGUUCAUAUCCUUGAGAAAGAGUAUUGAUUUUUGUUUUAAGUUCGCUUAUCUCUAUAAGGUGUUUCAUGUUGAGCUCGUUAAAGUAAAGUCUAUGUUGCAUGUCCAUGAUAUUUAAUCUAUUAGAGACUGUAUCUUCCAGUUUUUGCAUUCUAUAGUUCAUGCUAUGCAUCUGCUCGUCAUUGUGUGGUAUUUAAUUUAUUCGAUGUUGUAUUGUAACCCACUUUAAAAUUACAAAACGUGUAAUCUAUAUAUGUAUUUCUUUUCAUAUGGUUUUUAAAUGCAAUGUGCAUAAAAUGUAAAUAUAUACAAACAUAACUCGUUUUAUGUGUCUUUAUAUGUGUUCCCGAUUACGAGUUAAAGCCUUUAUAUUGUCAAUCUUGUUUUCAUCACAGAAAUAAGAAGAUGUGGUAUAAGCGCAAAUGAGACAACUCUCCACCAAAAUAACAAUAUGUAAUAAAUGUAUUAAGGGUCCAAAAAAAUAUUAGUGUAAAACCUAUCAAACAGAAAAAACCAACGGUAUAAACUAUAAACGAGGAACGAGAAACACUAAUGAACCACAAAAAAACCCUACCAACAACAGCUAAACAACAGGGACCUGGCUUAUGUCAUGUGCAAACAAUUACAGCCAGCGGGUUUAAAUGUUUAACAGAACCAAUCUUCAACCUAACCAGGACUGUUCUUUUUAAACUUUUUUUUAUUAAUGUUUUUAUUAAAUCUCCUCAGACUGUUUUUUUUUUCUUCUUCUUCUUCAGGUCAUGGUUAUGUCGCUCCCUACGAUAAGUCUCCAUAUUUUUUAUACUUCAAGUUACAUUGCAGAAAUUCUUCAUCAAACACUUAUUGCAAAAGAAAUCGAAAGAUAACAAUAAAACAUGCAAACUUAUAAAUCCAAAAUACCCCACUAAAGUCUUGGAGGUGACCUAAUGUGCUCUGGCAAGGGUAAGCAAAUCAUACUCCAUUUACAAGGAUAUUUGACGCAUUCAAUAAUGCAAUAUACUAGUGUUAGCAUUUUUUGUGUAUUUACAGACCAUGGCCAGUAAUUUGAGCACAUGUGGUGUCUGUGAUCAUCGUCAGGUUACCAAGCCAUCAAUAGUCUGGUGUUCCGAAUGUGAUGAAGGACUUUGUGGAGAUUGUAACGAACACCACAGUAUUUCCAAGGCAUCAAGAAACCACGAAACCGUUUCUAUUACCGAAUACAAGAAGUUACCGACAGAAAUUCUCCAAAUCGCCCAGUUCUGCAAAAUACAUAACGAGAAAUAUGAACUUUUUUGCAGAAAACAUGACUGCCCAUGCUGCAAGAAAUGUGUGAAAACGCAUAACGACUGCAAAGAUUUAACCGACAUCAAAGAAAUCAUAUCAAACGUAAAAGCAUCAAGUGCCUUUUAUGAUAUCGAACAAAUUAUAUUAGAACUUGCUGACAAUGUAAAUCAAAUACGUAACAACCGAGAAGACAAUUUAAAAUCAUUGGAAAUCGAGAGGAGAAAAGUUGAAGCAGAAAUCAAACAAACCAGAAUAAAGUUAAAUAAUCAUCUUGAUAAACUUCAAGAUGAAGUACUGAAAGAAUUGAUGACAGCUGAACAAACCGAAAGCAAGAAAAUACACGAGUUGCUAACUUCUUUAAAGGCUAAGGAAACGGAGAUAGCAGAAUACCAAACAAACAUUUGGAAUAUAAAACAGCAUGCGUCCGAGCUUCAAGCCUUCUUGGCCAUAAAACAUAUCGAAAAGGAUUUAAAGGUCGAAGAAAAAUUUAUUCGGUCGAUUAUCACAAGUGACAUCAUGAAGCAUGUCACUAUUUCAUACGAAAAUAAACAGUCAUUACAGAAAAUCACAGCCAGCGUACAGAAGUUUGGAGAAAUUAAUGUCAAUUCUGAACCAUGUGAAUUGUCCCUUCAGAAACGGAAGGAGAGACAAGCCCAGCGUAUGGUAGCUCUGUCAACCAGAAAUAUCAAUAAUCUCACAGUGGUGUUACAGAAACGUAUCAAUGAUGAGAAUCAGAUGAGAAAUGUACGAGGUUGUUCUUUGCUCCCUGGUGGUAGGAUGGUUUUCUCUUCCGAAAACUAUGGAAAAAUAAUAGUAUUUAAAUCUGACACUUCAAAAGAUUUUGAAAUAAAUAGUAUCGGUGGUACGUUUGAUGUGGUGUUUAUUGGCGAUGAUAACAUUGCUGUAACAUCAGACUGCUCACGUAAAAUUACUAUUAUCGACAUCAAAAACAGCGAAUUGAAGAAAAAAAUAAAAGUAAAUUCCAAUAUUGCUGGGAUAUCAUACAAAGAUGGACAUUUGAUCUAUUGUGCCAUGGAAAGAGGAUUAGAGAUGAUUAGUCUUAGUGAUGAAUCCGUUACCAAUCUUAUCAAUACCAAACUUUCGAAAUAUUCGUAUGUUACAACAUUCGGUGACAAACUGUUCUACACAAACAGAGACGAACAUCACAGUGUUACCUGUUGUGAUUACCAUGGUAACAUACUGUGGACAUUCAGUAAUAAUGUUCUUGUCGGUCCAUACGGCAUAUCUGUAGACAAUGAUGGUAACGUGUUUGUUGUUGGGUGUUAUACUAACAAUGUGGUCGUCAUCUCGCCUGAUGGACAACGUUAUAGGCAACUUUUAUCACGUGAUGAUGGACUCAAUUACCCAAAUGUUCUGCACUAUGACCAAUCUUCCAAUAAAUUGUUAGUUGCAAAUACAAGAAAUGAAGCGUUCUUAUAUGAAGUGAAAUGACUAUCUUUAUUUUGUUUGAAAUAUCAAACCAAGAAACUAUGCG
Molecule: long non-coding RNA, 4039 nt
Filed under: Mytilus galloprovincialis (Mediterranean mussel)
Lineage: Eukaryota; Metazoa; Mollusca; Bivalvia; Mytilida; Mytilidae
Source: RNAcentral